This 253-nucleotide ribosomal RNA is filed under the name uncultured bacterium. RNAcentral describes it as "partial 16S ribosomal RNA". It matches the Rfam family "Bacterial small subunit ribosomal RNA", at positions 524 to 776 of the family's 1533-position model. The record is from RNAcentral.
UGCAGAGGGGGCAAGCGUUGUUCGGAAUUAUUGGGCGUAAAGCGCGCGCAGGCGGUCCUUUAAGUCUGAUGUGAAAGCCCACGGCUCAACCGUGGAGGGUCAUUGGAAACUGGAGGACUUGAGUACAGAAGAGGAAAGCGGAAUUCCACGUGUAGCGGUGAAAUGCGUAGAGAUGUGGAGGAACACCAGUGGCGAAGGCGGCUUUCUGGUCUGUAACUGACGCUGAGGCGCGAAAGCGUGGGGAGCAAACAGG